This 207-nucleotide non-coding RNA is filed under the name Colletotrichum tofieldiae. Its description in RNAcentral is "Bacterial large subunit ribosomal RNA". It matches the Rfam family "Bacterial large subunit ribosomal RNA", at positions 171 to 512 of the family's 2925-position model. The record is from Rfam by way of RNAcentral. Lineage: Eukaryota; Fungi; Ascomycota; Sordariomycetes; Glomerellales; Glomerellaceae.
GUUUUUUAAUAAACGAAGUGAAUUGAAACAUCUUAGUAACUUCAGGAAAAGAAAUCAAAAGAGAUUCUACGAUUAGCGUGAGCGAAAGUAGAGAAGCCUAUAUAUUAAUAAGUAAAAUGGUUUAGAAACUGUUUGAAUUUAAUGGGGAACCUUCCUCAAAGGCUAAAUAUAAUACAUAAGCGAUAGUGAAUAGUAUCAUGAGAGAAC